CCUACGGGAGGUAGCAGUGGGGAAUAUUGGACAAUGGGGGCAACCCUGAUCCAGCCAUGCCGCGUGUGUGAAGAAGGCCCUCGGGUUGUAAAGCACUUUCAGUGAGGAAGAACGCCUGGUGGUUAAUACCCAUCAGGAAAGACAUCACUCACAGAAGAAGCACCGGCUAACUCCGUGCCAGCAGCCGCGGUAAUACGGAGGGUGCGAGCGUUAAUCGGAAUUACUGGGCGUAAAGCGCGCGUAGGUGGCUUGAUAAGCCGGUUGUGAAAGCCCCGGGCUCAACCUGGGAACGGCAUCCGGAACUGUCAAGCUAGAGUGCAGGAGAGGAAGGUAGAAUUCCCGGUGUAGCGGUGAAAUGCGUAGAGAUCGGGAGGAAUACCAGUGGCGAAGGCGGCCUUCUGGACUGACACUGACACUGAGGUGCGAAAGCGUGGGUAGCAAACAGGAUUAGAUACCCUAGUAGUC
Molecule: ribosomal RNA, 465 nt
Filed under: Vreelandella stevensii
Lineage: Bacteria; Pseudomonadati; Pseudomonadota; Gammaproteobacteria; Oceanospirillales; Halomonadaceae
Description: partial 16S ribosomal RNA
Rfam family: Bacterial small subunit ribosomal RNA
Source: RNAcentral